CGGAGGGAUCAUUACCGAGUUUACAACUCCCAAACCCCUGUGAACAUACCACUUGUUGCCUCGGCGGAUCAGCCCGCUCCCGGUAAAACGGGACGGCCCGCCAGAGGACCCCUAAACUCUGUUUCUAUAUGUAACUUCUGAGUAAAACCAUAAAUAAAUCAAAACUUUCAACAACGGAUCUCUUGGUUCUGGCAUCGAUGAAGAACGCAGCAAAAUGCGAUAAGUAAUGUGAAUUGCAGAAUUCAGUGAAUCAUCGAAUCUUUGAACGCACAUUGCGCCCGCCAGUAUUCUGGCGGGCAUGCCUGUUCGAGCGUCAUUUCAACCCUCAAGCACAGCUUGGUGUUGGGACUCGCGUUAAUUCGCGUUCCCCAAAUUGAUUGGCGGUCACGUCGAGCUUCCAUAGCGUAGUAGUAAAACCCUCGUUACUGGUAAUCGUCGCGGCCACGCCGUUAAACCCCAACUUCUGAAUGUUGACCUCGGAUCAGGUAGGAAUACCCGCUGAACUUAAGCAUAUCAAUAAGCGGAGGAAAAGAAACCAACAGGGAUUGCCCUAGUAACGGCGAGUGAAGCGGCAACAGCUCAAAUUUGAAAUCUGGCUCUCGGGCCCGAGUUGUAAUUUGUAGAGGAUACUUUUGAUGCGGUGCCUUCCGAGUUCCCUGGAACGGGACGCCAUAGAGGGUGAGAGCCCCGUCUGGUUGGAUGCCAAAUCUCUGUAAAGUUCCUUCAACGAGUCGAGUAGUUUGGGAAUGCUGCUCUAAAUGGGAGGUAUAUGUCUUCUAAAGCUAAA
This 787-nucleotide ribosomal RNA is filed under the name fungal sp. RNAcentral describes it as "eukaryotic LSU rRNA". The stretch from base 472 to 787 matches the Rfam family "Eukaryotic large subunit ribosomal RNA", at positions 1 to 320 of the family's 3401-position model. The record is from RNAcentral. Lineage: Eukaryota; Fungi.